AGGAGUGUAGCUCAAUUAGGUAGAGCACCGGUCUCCAAAACCGGCGGUUGGGGGUUCGAUUCCCCCCUGCCCUGCAA
RNAcentral lists this transfer RNA (77 nucleotides) under Acidimicrobiaceae bacterium. RNAcentral describes it as "tRNA-Trp". It matches the Rfam family "tRNA". Rfam says of the family: Transfer RNA (tRNA) molecules are approximately 80 nucleotides in length. Lineage: Bacteria; Bacillati; Actinomycetota; Acidimicrobiia; Acidimicrobiales; Acidimicrobiaceae. The record is from RNAcentral.